CAGCCGCCGCGGGAAUACGUAGGUGGCAAGCGUUGUCUGGAAUUAUUGGGCGUAAAGGGCUCGCAGGCGGUUUCUUAAGUCUGAUGUGAAAGCCCCCGGCUCAACCGGGGAGGGUCAUUGGAAACUGGGAAACUUGAGUGCAGAAGAGGAGAGUGGAAUUCCACGUGUAGCGGUGAAAUGCGUAGAGAUGUGGAGGAACACCAGUGGCGAAGGCGACUCUCUGGUCUGUAACUGACGCUGAGGAGCGAAAGCGUGGGGAGCGAACAGGAUUAGAUACCCCAGUAGUCCCUGUCUCUUAUAC
RNAcentral lists this ribosomal RNA (301 nucleotides) under uncultured bacterium. RNAcentral's name for it is "partial 16S ribosomal RNA". It matches the Rfam family "Bacterial small subunit ribosomal RNA", at positions 509 to 807 of the family's 1533-position model. The record is from RNAcentral.